UAAAGAAAGCGUAAUAGCUCACUGGUCGAGUCGGCCUGCGCGGAAGAUGUAACGGGGCUAAACCAUGCACCGAAGCUGCGGCAGCGACACUAUGUGUUGUUGGGUAGGGGAGCGUUCUGUAAGCCUGCGAAGGUGGCCUGUGAGGGUUGCUGGAGGUAUCAGAAGUGCGAAUGCUGACAUAAGUAACGAUAAAGCGGGUGAAAAGCCCGCUCGCCGGAA
RNAcentral lists this ribosomal RNA (219 nucleotides) under Salmonella enterica subsp. enterica serovar Amager. Its description in RNAcentral is "partial 23S ribosomal RNA". It matches the Rfam family "Bacterial large subunit ribosomal RNA", at positions 1124 to 1342 of the family's 2925-position model. Lineage: Bacteria; Pseudomonadati; Pseudomonadota; Gammaproteobacteria; Enterobacterales; Enterobacteriaceae. The record is from RNAcentral.